AGAUGUGUUUAUUUUGGAGCCUACACCAGCGCCUUUUUUGUUUGCUCUUUCCGGCAAUUCCCCAGUGAGGAAGCCCCUGGAGGAAAGUCUUUCGCUACCGUCGGCACUGGAGGGGUGAGAGCUGUAAAAGGGAGAAUUGGGAACGGCAUGGGGUUGGCCACUCCAGCACUUGAGCAGCUUUCUUCUGCGUUAGGAAGCCUGGGGAGAGGGGAACUGGCUAAAGGGCAAAAUGUCACUGAGGAACUUCGGAGAAGAUGGGGACAAGGCGUCGGGCGGGGGAGCCAGCGCUCAGGAGCCCAGGCACCAUACUGUCUUUUCGAGGUAGGAGUCGACUCCUGUGAGGUAUGGUGCUGGGUGCAGAUGCAGUGUGGCUCUGGAUAGCACCUUAUGGACAGUUGUGUCCCCAAGGAAGGAUGAGAAUAGCUACUGAAGUCCUAAAGAGCAAGCCUAACUCAAGCCAUUGGCACACAGGCAUUAGACAGAAAGCUGGAAGUUGAAAUGGUGGAGUCCAACUUGCCUGGACCAGCUUAAUGGUUCUGCUCCUGGUAACGUUUUUAUCCAUGGAUGACUUGCUUGGGUAUGGAGAGUCGGCUUGACUACACUGUGUGGAGCAAGUUUUAAAGAAGCAAAGGACUCAGAAUUCAUGAUUGAAGAAAUGCAGGCAGACCUGUUAUCCUAAACUAGGGUUUUUAAUGACCACAACAAGCAAGCAUGCAGCUUACUGCUUGAAAGGGUCUUGCCUCACCCAAGCUAGAGUGCAGUGGCCUUUGAAGCUUACUACAGCCUCAAACUUCUGGGCUCAAGUGAUCCUCAGCCUCCCAGUGGUCUUUGUAGACUGCCUGAUGGAGUCUCAUGGCACAAGAAGAUUAAAACAGUGUCUCCAAUUUUAAUAAAUUUUUGCAAUCCA
This is a long non-coding RNA of Homo sapiens (human), 907 nucleotides long. RefSeq annotates it as growth arrest specific 5. The transcript is spliced from 13 exons. NCBI's taxonomy places the organism in Eukaryota, Metazoa, Chordata, Mammalia, Primates, Hominidae. The record is from RefSeq and is marked reviewed.